RNAcentral lists this ribosomal RNA (395 nucleotides) under Virgibacillus sp. GUFBSama06-11. Its description in RNAcentral is "bacterial SSU rRNA". It matches the Rfam family "Bacterial small subunit ribosomal RNA", at positions 39 to 400 of the family's 1533-position model. Lineage: Bacteria; Bacillati; Bacillota; Bacilli; Caryophanales; Bacillaceae. The record is from RNAcentral.
ACGCUGUGCGGCGUGCCUAUUACAUGCAAGUCGAGCGCGGGAAGCAAGCAGAUCUCCUUCGGGAGUGACGCUUGUGGAACGAGCGGCGGACGGGUGAGUAACACGUGGGCAACCUACCUGUAAGACUGGGAUAACUCCGGGAAACCGGGGCUAAUACCGGAUGAAACAAAGCGUCGCAUGACGCAAUGUUAAAAGGCGGCAUAUGCUGUCACUUACAGAUGGGCCCGCGGCGCAUUAGCUAGUUGGUGAGGUAAAGGCUCACCAAGGCAACGAUGCGUAGCCGACCUGAGAGGGUGAUCGGCAGGCACUGGGACUGAAACACGGCCCAUACUCCUACGGGAGGCAGCAGUAGGGAAUCUUCCGCAAUGGACGAAGGUCUGACGGAGCAACGCCGC